This 223-nucleotide long non-coding RNA is filed under the name Lathyrus oleraceus (garden pea). Its description in RNAcentral is "Pisum sativum (pea) long non-coding RNA (PSAT_LNC014327)". The record is from RNAcentral. Lineage: Eukaryota; Viridiplantae; Streptophyta; Magnoliopsida; Fabales; Fabaceae.
AAAAAGUGUGUAGAAACAUUCGCUUCUACCGAAAAAAAAAAGAGAAAAGAAAUGAAAAACAGAAAUGAAGUAUAAGCACUUGCCUAAGUCAAAGACUCAUGCAUUAAUGUGAUACUCAAAAGAAAAAAAAUUGAGUGAAAAAGAGUCAAGUUGGAAAACACCCCAUAAAAUAAUUUGUGCACAAAGAAAAACAAUAACAUGAAUGCCGAGUUCUAAACCUUUG